UUCAAUUGUACUAGAGUUACUUUUGUCUUUCCGACUUCCCCUCCGCCUCCGCCUCUUUGCACUUCCCGUCCGGCGUCUUUUGGCUCUCUCCUCCGUGAAGUUUUUCUGUUUUAGUUCUAAUUGAUCUUCACCCUUCAAAUUACUUUAUUCUCUGUUUGGUUUCUCAAUUGCAUGUCUAUAAUUGAAUUCCUCCUGCUGAAAUUUUGAUUUUUUUCUCAAACUUUUUUGGGUGCGCAUGUCUAAUAUGAUGCUUUUCUUGCUUUCUUUUGUUCCAUCUUCUUCAUUUCAGUUUUCGCUCUGCGAUGUGGUAGUGGUCUGUUGAUAAAGUAGUUGUCUGUUCCUGCAUCUGUUUUUUCGUACUUUUGGAUUCCGGUAAGUACUGCUCUUCUAUUCCCUUCUAUUUUUUUCCUUAGCUUUUAGCAUGCAUAAGUUGAACCCAAAUUAUCUAAUUUUCCACCCCUAAGAGAAAAAUUGACUGAGUGCAUUUAUACUCUUAUAUAAAACUUGCCUUCCGUGUCUUGAUGAGCUACAAUUGCCCCAGAACUUAAUCAGUGUUUGAUUUUAUUGUUGGAAAAGUGAAUGUGAUUAUAGAUGUGCUAUGAUUAUACAGUUGGCUAAUGUAGCGUCUGGAUAGAUGUACAUGGUUACUGCACAUUAAAAUUCUUUUUGAUAAGUUAUUGACCUCACACUAAGAUUAUUGAAGCUCAAAGCAAAAUGAACUUACCACUUUUGUUAUUUUCAAGAUGCGCUGUCAUUUUUUUCCUCCAAAGCCAUAUUGAUUAUUUAGUAUAAGUGAUCAAGGUGCAACAAACACUCUUUCUUAGUUGUUCAUUUGAUUUAAGGAGAUGUACUUUAGUGGAAAACAACAAGUAACCCAGUGAAUUCCCAUAAGUGGGGUCUGGGGAGGGUAGUGUAUACGCAAACCUUAUCGCUAUCCCGGAGGCAGAGUAUUCCAAUAAAAAAAAAGGGGUCUUCAAAUUCCUACAAGUUCUAUUUAUGAGGUCAAAAGUUGAUAUAUUAUUUCUUAUGAGCUUUUGCAUUAAACAUGCAAAGUGAUUGAUCUAUUGCUGCAAAAAUAUUUUUUUGAUACUAUCAUCUUAAAUUACCACUCAAUUCUACUAAUAAGAUCAGUAUGAAAGAAUGCAAGGUCCACUUUAACUCCUUUUAGAAACCUGCCUCUUAAGAUUUUUGAGACUAAACACAUGCCCCUUUUCUUAGUAGUCUUGGGGACAAACAUCUUCAAAUUCCCAAAUGCAAACUACGGAUAGGAGCUGAUCACGACCUAUUUGAAUAUGCAGGUUGUGCAUGUCUUACUGUAUUCAACUUUAAUUUAAUUUAAAUUCAG
RNAcentral lists this long non-coding RNA (1345 nucleotides) under Nicotiana tabacum (common tobacco). RNAcentral's name for it is "long non-coding RNA (NTAB_LNC017978)". Lineage: Eukaryota; Viridiplantae; Streptophyta; Magnoliopsida; Solanales; Solanaceae. The record is from RNAcentral.